UUGAAAUGAAUUUGUACGUCGCUUUGGAUAAAAGCGUCUGCUAAAUGACUAAAU
Molecule: non-coding RNA, 54 nt
Organism: Danio rerio (zebrafish)
Lineage: Eukaryota; Metazoa; Chordata; Actinopteri; Cypriniformes; Danionidae
Source: Rfam